Molecule: ribosomal RNA, 253 nt
Filed under: uncultured bacterium
Lineage: Bacteria
Description: partial 16S ribosomal RNA
Rfam family: Bacterial small subunit ribosomal RNA
Source: RNAcentral
UACGUAGGCAGCAAGCGUUUUUCGGAAUUACUGGGCGUAAAGAGUGCGUAGGCGGUGCUCUAAGUUUGGUGUGAAAUCUCCCGGCUCAACUGGGAGGGUGCGCCGAAAACUGGAGUGCUUGAGUGUGGGAGAGGAAAGCGGAAUUCCUGGUGUAGCGGUGAAAUGCGUAGAUAUCAGGAGGAACACCUGCGGUGUAGACGGCUUUCUGGACCACGACUGACGCUGAGGCACGAAAGCGUGGGGAGCAAACAGG